GGAGAGGUGCCGGAGCGGUCGAACGGGCUCGCCUGGAAAGCGGGUGUGCGGUAAUACCGUACCGAGGGUUCGAAUCCCUCCCUCUCCGCCA
RNAcentral lists this transfer RNA (91 nucleotides) under Gammaproteobacteria bacterium. RNAcentral describes it as "tRNA-Ser". It matches the Rfam family "tRNA". From Rfam's summary of the family: Transfer RNA (tRNA) molecules are approximately 80 nucleotides in length. Their secondary structure includes four short double-helical elements and three loops (D, anti-codon, and T loops). Lineage: Bacteria; Pseudomonadati; Pseudomonadota; Gammaproteobacteria. The record is from RNAcentral.